This 19-nucleotide unclassified non-coding RNA is filed under the name synthetic construct. RNAcentral's name for it is "RNA (5'-R(*GP*GP*CP*UP*UP*UP*UP*GP*AP*CP*CP*UP*UP*UP*AP*UP*GP*AP*A)-3') from synthetic construct (PDB 4RWO, chain B)". The record is from RNAcentral.
GGCUUUUGACCUUUAUGAA